AGGCGAGAUGAGUGCUAGUGUUGGAGGGUUUCCGCCCUUCAGUGCUGCAGCAAACGCAUUAAGCACUCCGCCUGGGGAGUACGACCGCAAGGUUGAAACUCAAAGGAAUUGACGGGGGCCCGCACAAGCGGUGGAGCAUGUGGUUUAAUUCGAAGCAACGCGAAGAACCUUACCAGGUCUUGACAUCCUUUGACCACUCUAGAGAUAGAGCUUUCCCUUCGGGGACAAAGUGACAGGUGGUGCAUGGUUGUCGUCAGCUCGUGUCGUGAGAUGUUGGGUUAAGUCCCGCAACGAGCGCAACCCUUAUUGUUAGUUGCCAUCAUUUAGUUGGGCACUCUAGCGAGACUGCCGGUGACAAACCGGAGGAAGGUGGGGAUGACGUCAAAUCAUCAUGCCCCUUAUGACCUGGGCUACACACGUGCUACAAUGGGAAGUACAACGAGUCGCUAGACCGCGAGGUCAUGCAAAUCUCUUAAAGCUUCUCUCAGUUCGGAUUGCAGGCUGCAACUCGCCUGCAUGAAGCCGGAAUCGCUAGUAAUCGCGGAUCAGCACGCCGCGGUGAAUACGUUCCCGGGCCUUGUACACACCGCCCGUCACACCACGAGAGUUUGUAACACCCGAAGUCGGUGAGGUAACCUUUUUGGAGCCAGCCGCCUAAGGUGGGAUAGAUGAUUGGGGUGAAGUCGACGGGGGGGCCCCCCAAAAAAAAAUUUUUAACGCACGGGUUUUUAGGGGCGAAGAAGGGUAAUUUUAAGGUUCCAAAAAGGGGGGGGUGGGCGCCGGGGGGGUUCCCCCCCGGGGUAUGUUGGCUAUUUCCGGGGGGUCCACGGGGGGGAGUCCACCCCCCCGCGUUUUGGGGCCGUGGGGACGCCGCCCGUGGGCGGGGGGGGCGCGGCGCGGGGGGGGGGGGGGGGGGGGGGUUUUCCCACUAAGGGGGGUUGAAGAAGGCGGGGGGGGGGGGGGCGAGGGGGUGGCCGGCCCCAAAUAGAGGGGGGGGGGAAGGGGGGGGGGGGGCCCCCGAGCGAUGUUAUGGGGGGGGGGGGGGGGGGGGGGAGGCAAAAAUAUGACCCGGGGGGGGGUUUUGGGGGGGUUGAAGAAAACCGCCGCGGGGGGGGGGGGCGUGUUUGGGGUUUAAAAAAGGGGCUGGGGGGGGGGGUGUUUUUUUGGUAAAAAAAAGAAGAAGGUGUUUUUUUUUGGUGCCCCGCCGCAGAAAAACCUUUGGUUUGUUUUUUAGCUUGCUGGGGGGGGGGGGGGGUUGGUUGGGGGGUGGGGAGGGAAAAAAAAAAAUUUUGUGUUCCCCCGUUUUUGG
Molecule: ribosomal RNA, 1309 nt
Filed under: Enterococcus faecalis
Lineage: Bacteria; Bacillati; Bacillota; Bacilli; Lactobacillales; Enterococcaceae
Description: bacterial SSU rRNA
Rfam family: Bacterial small subunit ribosomal RNA (bases 1-714)
Source: RNAcentral